AGCCAGACUCCUACGGGAGGCAGCAGUGGGGAAUAUUGCACAAUGGGGGAAACCCUGAUGCAGCGACGCCGCGUGAGUGAUGAAGUAUUUCGGUAUGUAAAGCUCUAUCAGCAGGGAAGAAGAUGACGGUACCUGACUAAGAAGCCCCGGCUAACUACGUGCCAGCAGCCGCGGUAAUACGUAGGGGGCAAGCGUUAUCCGGAUUUACUGGGUGUAAAGGGAGCGUAGACGGCGAUGCAAGCCAGAUGUGAAAGCCCGGGGCUCAACCCCGGGACUGCAUUUGGAACUGUGUGGCUGGAGUGUCGGAGAGGCAGGCGGAAUUCCUAGUGUAGCGGUGAAAUGCGUAGAUAUUAGGAGGAACACCAGUGGCGAAGGCGGCCUGCUGGACGAUGACUGACGUUGAGGCUCGAAAGCGUGGGGAGCAAACAGGAUUAGAUACCCCAGUAC
RNAcentral lists this ribosomal RNA (447 nucleotides) under uncultured bacterium. RNAcentral describes it as "bacterial SSU rRNA". It matches the Rfam family "Bacterial small subunit ribosomal RNA", at positions 329 to 793 of the family's 1533-position model. The record is from RNAcentral.